Molecule: ribosomal RNA, 407 nt
Filed under: uncultured bacterium
Lineage: Bacteria
Description: partial 16S ribosomal RNA
Rfam family: Bacterial small subunit ribosomal RNA
Source: RNAcentral
AUUGAACGCUGGCGGCAGGCCUAACACAUGCAAGUCGAGCGGAGAGGCGGACGGGAGAGUAAUGCCUAGGAAUCUGCAUGGUAGUGGGGGAUAACGUACGGAAACGGGCGAUAAUACCGCAUAAUAUCAGAUGCGCAGAGGUCGGAUUAGCUAGUUGGUGGGGGAAAGGCCUACAAAGGCGACGAUCCGUAACUGGUCGGAGAGGAUGAUCAGUCAAACUGGUACUGAUACAGGGUCCAGACUCCUACGUGAGGCAGCAGUGGGGAAUAUUGGACAAGUGGCGAAAGCCGGAUCCAGCCAUUCCGCUGGUGUUAAGAAGGUCUUCGGAUUGUAAAGCACUUUAAGUUGGGAGGCGUUACCAACAGAAUAAGCACCGGCUAACUUCGUGCCAGCAGCCGCGGUAAUAC